Molecule: long non-coding RNA, 277 nt
Filed under: Xyrichtys novacula (pearly razorfish)
Lineage: Eukaryota; Metazoa; Chordata; Actinopteri; Labriformes; Labridae
Source: RNAcentral
UUAGUGUUGGAGCUAGGGUUAGGGUUGGGCUUGGAGCUAGGAUUUUUCUGAGUGCAAUGAACCAACUCCCGAAUGGUCUCUAGGAGACGUUCCUAAAAAAUUUGAUUUUUUUCCCAUAGGAAUGCAUGGGUUAGGGUUAGGGUUAGGGUUGGAGCUAGGGUUAGGGUUAGGGUUAGGGUUGGAGUUAGGGUUAGUGUUGGAGCUAGGGUUAGGGUUGGGCUUGGAGCUAGGAUUUUUUGAGUGCAGAACCAACUCCGGGUUCUAGGACGUUCCUAAA